UGAUAUUUUUAUUUACAUAUUAUUUAUCUCCCAUUCCAGUGUGCUGCCCCUGGCGCUCUGCUAUGCUACCCAUGAAACGACCGACGCAAAGGAAGUAGCCGUCGAAACAAGGCAUCAUCAGCAGCGGAGGGAGCAGCAACCUUUUUUUCCCAAAAUAAGGCUGAGCAUUCGCUUCUCGGGACCGGCGACAUCCCAAACAAUAAACUUCACGUCGAUAGAAAUAGAUACUCACAAUCAAUCACCGUACCAGUCUACGUGACGUUACGGUACUACUCUGGAUGGUCAAUCGCAGUGUUUCAACCUAGGUCCUCAAUCAAAGGAUAUUUAUUCUAUUUUUCACUACGGUCCGAUCCGGUUCUUCGGUUAAAGUGUGCUACGAAACUGGUGUCGAGACCAACCAGGUUCACCGAGAUUUUCACCUCUUCACUCCUAACACUUAUUAUAAUCCC
Molecule: long non-coding RNA, 449 nt
Organism: Wyeomyia smithii (pitcher-plant mosquito)
Lineage: Eukaryota; Metazoa; Arthropoda; Insecta; Diptera; Culicidae
Exons: 4
Source: RefSeq, a predicted model, not a curated record